Molecule: non-coding RNA, 623 nt
Organism: Prunus avium (sweet cherry)
Lineage: Eukaryota; Viridiplantae; Streptophyta; Magnoliopsida; Rosales; Rosaceae
Source: RefSeq, a predicted model, not a curated record
CGUAAAACCAGGCAAAAGGUUGGGGGAAGAGGAAAGAGGAAAAAAAAAAGAAAACAGACGCGGGUUGGUUUUUUAAGAAGCCCACUUCAUGGUUGAGGAGGAAUACAUCAGGAGCCAAGCAUUGUCCGUUCUGGGAUGAGUUCGUCGAUCGAUCCGUACAGCCUGUACGUGCCGAUGUGGAAGACGCGGAAUCUGUACGUGAAAGAAUUGAAGGGUACCUGAAAACAUCCUGAGAUCUGUGUCACAGAAAAAGGAUUGGCCAUAACUCUAGUCCACUGGGCAACAGUCAGGAAGACAAAACUGAAGGCUGGACUUGUGAACCAGAAGCCCCGGUAGCCAGUGGAGGCCAACUGCCAGUAGCUCAACACAACGACAGCAUAUGCUGCAGAUAUUCAGCUCUGUAAAGUCGUCCGACGCAAAAUUCUUCCUAAAUGCAAAAUAAUGUAAAAGUGAUUUGAGCCAUAGGAUGUGAUUCUAAUUACGUGUCUUAUUCUUAUCAAAAGCUUAGGCAAGGUUAGGCAAAAAUAGUGAUUAGGAGAGGAUUCGAGUAUGUGAUGGGGUUGUAGACAAGAGUAUGGUCAAAUUAUUGAAUAAUAAAUUUGGAAAUGUAAAAUUCAUUAAAA